This 253-nucleotide ribosomal RNA is filed under the name uncultured bacterium. Its description in RNAcentral is "partial 16S ribosomal RNA". It matches the Rfam family "Bacterial small subunit ribosomal RNA", at positions 524 to 776 of the family's 1533-position model. The record is from RNAcentral.
GACAGAGGGUGCAAACGUUGUUCGGAAUUACUGGGCGUAAAGCGUGCGCAGGCGGCUUUGCAAGACAGAUGUGAAAUCCCCGGGCUCAACCUGGGAACUGCAUUUGUGACUGCAUGGCUAGAGUACGGUAGAGGGGGAUGGAAUUCCGCGUGUAGCAGUGAAAUGCGUAGAUAUGCGGAGGAACACCGAUGGCGAAGGCAAUCCCCUGGACCUGUACUGACGCUCAUGCACGAAAGCGUGGGGAGCAAACAGG